AUAAUUUUUUGGAAAAUGUUAUCUUGUCUCAUGAUCUCCUAGUUUUUUUUUUACUCCUUUAUACGAUGGUUAUUGCGGGAAAGUUCCCCAUCUGAAUCUGGCAUAGGAGUAUGAUCAAAGACCUGACGAUGGGAAACUCUCUCGAAAUGACCAUUGUCUAAAGAAAGAGCAAAAAACUAGGAGGUUAGGGAAAAAGGUAACAUUUUUUAAGGUAAUUUUUAAAAUUAUCUUAACCUUAGGUUUCAGGCGUUAAUUAUUCAAGUUGCAUUAGCAUAUACGCGUGGUUCAUUAAUAGUGAUAACAUCCGAAUGAACCACUCACCUGGACGGAGUAAAGAUUGGACAGAUUUGAACAAAAACACAAUACGAGGUCGAACUUUGGUAAGUUGGGAGUAGUUUUGAAUACAACUAGUUGGUAGUGUUCUCCUGUCAAAACUUCAAAGCCGAGAGAAACUAUUUGGACUGUGAAAAUAGUCGUUAAAAUUUGUCCUUGCGUUGAAUCAAGUGGAAGAAUAGUUUUAAACCUAGAUCCAUUGGUUUCAAUACAAUUCGACUAUAGUGCGUUUCUUUUAACUCUGUACAGUUGAACUUCCAAAAACCGUGCUCUCUCAUCAAAGUCGCACGUAAAGCGUGUUAAACUCUUCCGGAAAUAUAACUCAAAAUGGUGAAAAGCAUACUUUGGUGGUUUACAUGAGUAUUUCUCAGUAAAAACUUCCCAUUGGUAAAUUACGUCACGGAAUAAGGGAGAGGGGAUGGCCAAUUUGUUCAUGAAACAGGCGGUGCAGUAUGCAAGAGGCCGUCCUACAUACCCGGCAGAAUUGUUUCGUUUUAUUGCCGAAAAGACUCCGGAGCAUAAACUUGCUUGGGAUGUCGGAACGGGCAAUGGACAAGCUGCCCGGUCGUUGGCUGAGCACUACGAGCAAAUCGUAGCCACGGACACGAGUUCAAAGCAGCUGGAACUAGCGCCGAAAAUUCCGAACGUCCGCUACGAACAAACCUCCUCAAAUAUGUCCAAAGACGAGCUUUAUCGAAAGGUAGCCCAAGAAUCGAACGUGGAUUUGGUGACAGCCGCCCAAGCCGCACGUUGGUUUGACCUACCGACAUUCUACGAGCAAGUGAGGAGGGUGCUAAAAAAACCACAUGGGGUCAUCGCGGUUUGGUGCUAUACACUCCCCGAGGUCAAUUCGAAAAUGGACGCGGUUCUACGGAAGUACAAUGAGAAUCCUUAUGGAGAUCCGAGGAAAAAAACCGCGCAUGAUGGGUACAAGGAUCUAGAGUUCCCUUUUCAACCUUUGCAUGGACUAGAAGGGACUGGACCGUUUCAUUUCAAAAAUGAGAAGACCAUGAGCCUGGAUGAUUACUUCAUUUUUUUGAAAUCUAGGUUUGCGUAUCAAAAGGCUAAAGAUCAAGGUGUAGAACUUCUGGAUCAGGAGAUGAUUGAAGAGUUCAGGCGCGCCUGGAGUGCGGAUGGAAAUGUUGGCUCCAAAUCGGUCAGAUGGCCAGUGUAUUUAAGGAUAGGGAGAGUGGAGACGUAAAAUCUAAUAAGUUUUUAAGGACCAUUUGGACAUAACUUCAAUACACAACUUUUUAAAACCUCGCUUUAAACUUAAUUUUUACAAUUCUAAGUUAGUGGGCAUUGAUUGGUACCAACCACAUAGCAUGUCUUGCUACCCACGGUAACAAAAAGGCAGAGGUUGUUAUGGAUGAUUUGGACAUUUCCAAUUAAUCGUGGUAAGAUCUCUAUAAAUUAGGUUAUUAACCCAAAUCGACGGCGGAAGUCCGCAACCACGUAUCUCAUUUGCGGUGUUUGAAAAUCUCCGCCUCUAUAUUAUUUUUUUAUAAGAGAACAAAUUGACACCAUCCCUUGAAGUUUUAGCAGAAUUUUCUUCGCACAGAGAAUAAAAAUCACGACAGUUUUAAAGAAUUACCGUUCAGUAGUUUUCCGUUUAAAAAAUGAAGUAUGACAGGAAGUCUGCGACGUUGCAAACCAAGAUACGUGGCUGCGGACUUACAGUGUGGAAAUGUUGCGGCAUUACUCCUACUUGUGUUGCGGUGCUACCAUAAUUAAUUGGAAACAAACACAACAAACAAAUUGGGACAGUGCCUUAAUUUUAAGAGAUCACCCCUAACACUUUUUUUCCGUGCCUAAUUUACUUUCUCGUUUUAUUUUUAACCAUCAUAAGCCGCUCAAUACCUUUGAACUUUCCCCGAAUUACCUCUAAAUUAUGAGUAGCUUAUUACUCGCAUGAUUAUAGCGCAGAUUAUUCCCAGAACGACCCGCAGCCUGACUGAUGACAUUUUGUGUUUUCCUGGUGGAUUAGACAAGACUAAUGUGAAAUAGAGCUACUUGGUCGGCUGUGUCGUUUAGGUGACCGCGGGAGUCGCUUACGGGCAGAAUUGGACGUAUUUCUGCCAAACGGAACCAUGUGCAUUAAGACAUGAGCCCUGAGACCCAUAAGAAUAUAUGCAUUACAGGGCUCACAUCGCGAUGAACAUAGUUCCGUUUGACAGAAAUACGUCCAAUUGUUGAUUAGCUGUGGGCAUCUCCCCGCUGGCCGGUCGUAUUAUGCCCCGUAAGCAGGCAAUUAUUCGGCCCACAAACUGGCUAUUUCAGUCGCAAAAAUGACACAGAUGACCAACUGGACUACAUUUUGCAAUUAGAAACUACAAUUUCUAGCCCACUCGUAAAAACACUCAAGUGCAUAGGAAAAAUAAUAGCACGUACGUCGCUUCUAAACUGAACCAGAUAUUUUAGGUCAAAACUGCAAAAUGCAGUCCGAUUACUAAACUCCAUGUCACCUUAGUCUUUUCUUCUACCAGACAAACACAAAAUGAACAGCGUUUAACAGAAAAGAGUCCAGCCACAUCAGCUAUUGACAAAUUUAAUUGGGCAAUGUAAUUUUUUACAAGGGAACGCUUGUACGGUUUCCUUCGAAAAUUCUAAGGCAUUUCCUUAUUCGCACUAGGCAGAAAAUUAACUAUCUGUACAAUAAUCUGUACAACCGUUUUCAUAUAAAAAAUUAAAUUGCCCAAUGAUAGGCAAUAGCUGAUGAGACUUGGUUCCUUUCUGCUCAACUCGGUCCAAAUGUCAGCAAUGGGGCUGCUGAACCUUUAUUUGUACACGGUGUGAGCCGCGCAGAAGGAGUGAUUCUUAAGUAUGUAAAUAAAACUGAUUCUAAGGAGAUAUUUUUAUCACGAGUCAAUGAAAUGAGGGGUUAACAGAGGACUCUGGCAAUUCGAGUUGUCACAGUUUUAUCCGUGAAAAGAUUCCUCAGGGGGCAGUUGGGAGUAGCUCCGAGAUGCGACAGUCCGCUUUGACGCAACUUUUAAACGUAUUGUUGAUCGAACAAGUUUUAGCUGCAUUAGAACAAGUUGGCGAAAAGUUCGGUGCAUGGACAAGACCUUUCAGGACUCCCGGGGGAUCAGCAACUUCCCGUGUACAAAUACUACCUUUAUCUUGAGGUGCUUUGAUGAAAUUCGCCCCGAGCUCCCCGACUCCUGCCGAUUCAUCAUUUAUGGAUGCUCAUUUAUGGUUUUCCGAGCGCGUUUCGAGUCUACGAUCCGGAGUGCAGUGAAAUGGAUGCUCUCAUACGCGGAAAAAGCGGAGGAUAUUAUUGCGUAUUGCACGGAUAUUACACAUAUGAGAACCGGAACCUUUUUGAAGUUUCGCAAAAGCGUGAAAACUGUCCUCUCGGUAAUGGAUGGAGUUCCUUGGGAUACUACGGUCCUUUAAAGCAAAACGCCGUAUUUUCAUUCAGCAUUUUGCCAUUUUGUUCUAAUACGAUUUUUUCCCGGUAAAAUUGGCUAAAUUUCGAUAAUCUGGUGCGACUUCUCAACAUUCUACCAUAAUCUUCCUGCAAAAACUUGAUGAAUUUUUACUAAUGUUCAGGUGACAAAAAAUUUAAUAUCUUUCAAAAUUACAUGAUUUUAAAAAUUAUACGACUGUUGUCAUAAAAUUGCCUUUUGCUAACUUUUUCUCAAUCCUUACGUUUAAGCAUGAAUGAGACUUUGAUCGCUCCCCACAUUUAAAAUUGUCUGGGAACAUGUUCCAUAAUAAAGUGUCCUAGCAUAAGUAUGCCUCUAAGCGACGGAGUGACUAUUCCAUAAUGAUUACGAUGCAAUCCCUGCAGUAUAGACAAUAUGCGAAAACGAAGCUUCUCAUCCUUCAGAUGCUCCGAACAUUUUCUUACACGAUUAGCGAAAAAGGCAAGAAACACGAAGAGAAUUAUCAUGUCGUCAAAAUCAACAUGAUAAACCAAAAUUACGGUCAUGAGCCUAUCUUUGAAGCGAGAAGCCGUCUUUCAAUGAAUAUUAAUACAAUAGUAAUGAGGGAGAUACUAACUUCAUGAUGGCCUUGGUUAUGGUGGCAAGUUACAAUGUAGUAUAGCUUUCCAAGCUUGAGUAUAAUUUGAGAACUGAUGCAGGUUUGAUCGAAAAUAGUCAUGAAUAAUUACAGUUCAAGUCUCCUCAUAACGAUGGUGAAACAACAGAAUAGAUAUCCGCUCUGAGUCGUUGCAGAAUUCCUGUUGUCGUACUUCAUUUUCUACAUUGAAAACUAUUAAACGUCAUUUCUUGAAAAUUCGAUGAUUUUGAGCGUUCACCACGUUAGUAGUGUAUUGAGCGUUCACCACGUUAGUAGUGUACGCUCUUUCCGGCCGUUUUGCAGCGGGUAUGUUACUAAUGGAUCCAUUGGUAAUAGCCCGCACUGCUCCAUGGGAAUCGGCGCCAUUUUUCGUGGCGGGAAGCAAUUCCUAGUUUCUUAAUUUUAUUUAUGUACCAUUUCUACCUUUUUUCUCCUAUUUUGUCCACUUUAUGUAAUGCCUGUAGGCUUGUCUUCGAGAAAUUAAUAUUUUUACAUUUUCAAACUCUGCAACGUACUUUUAUUUAAUGACUCUUUCAAGCAUCGUUCAAAUUUUUUGUCGUCAUAAUUCUAGGAAAAUGUAUGGGUACAAAGUACCCCCUUAUUAAUGACUCCUAUAUUUUACUCUAUGAUUCUUGUAUAUAUGUAUGUUUCCUAGGUUACGCUCCACGUUUAGUUCAACAGCGUCUUGCAGCGCUCUCUUCCGUCCACGCAAAACCACUUAUACACAUUGAGGAGGUGCUACGGUGAACGCUCUCCAACGUUGAGACGUUGGAACCGUCGUCUUGUUUCUGGUUUUAACCCAUUUGUACAUCGAUCUUUUAGAGUCAAAUACGUCAAAUUUUGAACGUUUGGUUGCGCGCACACUAAGUUGCAGCAAAGUAAAAGUACAACAUAAAAAAGCAAAAAUUAAACUGCUUUGGAAAUCAUUGAAUUUGACACCGAACCACUUUAAUAUUUACUAAACACACAGGAUAUUUUCCUGAAUAACAUAUUUCCCCCAUCAAUUGAAAUGAGAAUAAUCCAUGCAGAGUGUGCUAACAUUUCAAAAUCAUGAAUCAAAAAACGCUGACUCCGCGAGUUUAAAUAUUAGAGCCAAACACAUAGCGAAGCGGCGUGCUGUCAGCGCGACACGCGCACUGGCGCCUACAAACCUAACAGGGAUACUUCACGCAUUGCGCAAUGCGUGAAGUAUCCCUGUUAGGUUUGUAGGCGCCAAUGCGCGUGUUGCGCUGGUCGCCCUCGGCCGCCGCGCAUCAAGCAACUAUUUCGCAACAGAGGUGUCGCACAGAAUCAUAUGAAAUUGAAGGCGCCAUUUUUCGUGGCAGGAAGCAAUAUCUAGUUUCUCAAUUUUAUUUAUGUACCAUUUCUACCUUUUUUCUCCUAUUUUGUCCACUUUAUGUAAUGCCUGUAGGCUUGCCUUUGAGAAAUUAAUAUCUUUACGUUUUAAAACUCUGCAACGUACUUUUAUUUGAUGACUCUUUCAAGCAUCGUUCAAAUUUUUAGUCGUCAGAGAUCUGAAAAAAUUGUUGGGUACCAAGUACCCCUUCACAACAUGACCCCUAUAUUUUACUCUAUGAUGACAAGACAUCCCUUAUAAAUGUAUAUCCUUAUAUAUCCGUCCGCGCAAAACAACUUUUACAUUUUAACAUCGGAGUUCCCCCCCCCCUCCCGCUAGAUCGAACUACUGUAAAUUUGAAUUACAAUGCGUUGUUGGUGAUCAUAAGAGAAUUUGUGAAUUUUAAGUGUAAUAUUUUCUUUUUCCCAUCGCCAAUCGCCGACGGGACGGUGUUUGACGCACUGCAUCAAGUAUUCCCACAGUCUUAUAAGCGCUAACAUUCAUUUUUAAUAAAAAAAAAACUAAUAAAUUGACGAGGUGUUACGGUGAACGCUCUCCAACGUCUUAACGUUGGAACCGUCGUCUUGUUUUUAU
This 6292-nucleotide long non-coding RNA is filed under the name Bemisia tabaci. RNAcentral describes it as "lncRNA ENSSSA1UGG009616". Lineage: Eukaryota; Metazoa; Arthropoda; Insecta; Hemiptera; Aleyrodidae. The record is from RNAcentral.